Small nuclear RNA from Carcharodon carcharias (great white shark), 105 nucleotides. The record is from RefSeq and is a predicted model, not a curated record. Lineage: Eukaryota; Metazoa; Chordata; Chondrichthyes; Lamniformes; Lamnidae.
GCCCAUUUAAAUGAAGCUGGCCUUAAAAUUGGAACGAUACAGAGAAGAUUAGCAUGGCCCCUGUGCAAGGAUGACACGCAAAUUCGUGAAGCAUUCCAUAUUUCA